UCUAUGUCGGCGACCGGCGCACGGGUGCGUAACGCGUAUGCAACCUACCCAUUACAGGGGGAUAACACUGAGAAAUCGGUACUAAUACCCCAUAACAUCCAGGGAGGCAUCUUCUUGGGUUGAAAACUCCGGUGGUAAUGGAUGGGCAUGCGUUGUAUUAGUUAGUUGGUGGGGUAACGGCUCACCAAGACAACGAUACAUAGGGGGACUGAGAGGUUAACCCCCCACAUUGGUACUGAGACACGGAUCAAACUCCUACGGGAGGCAGCAG
Molecule: ribosomal RNA, 271 nt
Filed under: uncultured bacterium
Lineage: Bacteria
Description: partial 16S ribosomal RNA
Rfam family: Bacterial small subunit ribosomal RNA
Source: RNAcentral